CCGACAAGCGGUGGAGCAUUGUGGUUUAAUUCGACGCAACGCGAAGAACCUUACCAGCUCUUGACAUGUCCAUUAUGGGUCUGAGAGAUCAAAUCCUUCGGUUCGGCCGGGUGGAACACAGGUGCUGCAUGGCUGUCGUCAGCUCGUGUCGUGAGAUGUUGGGUUAAGUCCCGCAACGAGCGCAACCCUCACCUUUAGUUGCUACCAGGUUAUGCUGGGCACUCUAGAGGAACCGCCGGUGAUAAGCCGGAGGAAGGCGGGAUGACGUCAAGUCCUCAUGGCCCUUACGGGCUGGGCUACACACGUACUACAAUGGUGGUGACAGUGGGAUGCGAAAGCGCGAGCUGGAGCGAAUCCCCAAAAGCCAUCUCAGUUCGGAUUGCACUCUGCAACUCGAGUGCAUGAAGUUGGAAUCGCUAGUAAUCGUGGAUCAGAAUGCCACGGUGAAUACGUUCCCGGGCCUU
RNAcentral lists this ribosomal RNA (464 nucleotides) under uncultured Rhodospirillaceae bacterium. RNAcentral describes it as "bacterial SSU rRNA". It matches the Rfam family "Bacterial small subunit ribosomal RNA", at positions 921 to 1382 of the family's 1533-position model. Lineage: Bacteria; Pseudomonadati; Pseudomonadota; Alphaproteobacteria; Rhodospirillales; Rhodospirillaceae. The record is from RNAcentral.